GAUGAAGAACGUAGCGAAAUGCGAUAAGUAAUGUGAAUUGCAGAAUUCAGUGAAUCAUCGAAUCUUUGAACGCAUAUUGCGCCCCUUGGUAUUCCGAGGGGCAUGCCUGUUCGAGCGUCAUUAUAACCCUCAAGCUCAGCUUGGUGUUGGGGCCUGCUGCAGUGGCAGCCCUUAAAAUCAGUGGCGGCGCCAUCUGGCUCUAAGCGUAGUAAUUCUUCUCGCUAUGGAGUCCUGGUGGAUGCUUGCCAUCAACCCCCAAUUUUUCUAUGGUUGACCUCGGAUCAGGUAGGGAUACCCGCUGAACUUAAGCAUAUCAAUAAGCGGAGGA
RNAcentral lists this unclassified non-coding RNA (328 nucleotides) under soil metagenome. RNAcentral describes it as "partial contains 5.8S ribosomal RNA, internal transcribed spacer 2, and large subunit ribosomal RNA". The stretch from base 1 to 120 matches the Rfam family "5.8S ribosomal RNA", at positions 35 to 154 of the family's 154-position model. The record is from RNAcentral.